Mobula hypostoma (lesser devil ray) is the source of this 1329-nucleotide long non-coding RNA. RefSeq lists it as uncharacterized. NCBI's taxonomy places the organism in Eukaryota, Metazoa, Chordata, Chondrichthyes, Myliobatiformes, Myliobatidae. The transcript is spliced from 3 exons. The record is from RefSeq and is a predicted model, not a curated record.
UGUUUUACUCUGAGAAGUAGAGUGGAAUUGCAGACCAUUCCACCAUCUAAAAACUCUAUUUUGAUCUCCCACCCUGAUAUGUGUCUCUUGAGCAAAAAUUGUAUCAGGUUGGAAUCAGUUAAUAAUUUUAAAAGUCUUUUUUCGUUUAAUAGGAUGAUUCCAACUACGUACAUUCCAACUUAUUAUAUUAAUCUGUUUAAAUACCAUACUAUAAUUUUAUUCUACAUUAUACAUGCACAGAGCACCUACCAAUACGGGAUGAUCAAAGAUGGCGGUGAUGAAGAAUACAACCAAAUAAAAAAUACGCAUGCUCCGGAACCACCCAAUGGGAAAAAACUACAACUAGAGUUAAGGGUGAAAGGCAGACCAACCAUUGCUCAGAGCAGAAAAUUUCAACGUGGCUUGAAAACUGUGACAACACUUUAUAUUAACAUUAUAUAGAAGAAACUUCCAACUUUGCAGUAACAGAGGCUUCUCCUCACAGCUCCCAUCGGACAGGAGGAACACAAGUCUGAAGUCCCAUGCAACCAGGUUCAGGAACAGCUACUUCCCUUCAACCAAUUGGAUUGAGAAUGAACCGACACAACCCUAAUCACCAUCUCAGUACAGCAACACUGUGACCACUUGAUUUCCAGCAUCUGCAGUUUUGACUUUCACCUCCUGCUCCAACUGCAGAAGAACUUGGAGGACCCACAUGGACAGCAGCCACAGAACGAGAGUGGAAGGAAGUCAUCCCAACUCAGGCGGGAUAUACAUAGAAUAGUCCUCACAGUACAGGCCCUUCAGCCCACAACAUAGUGCUGACCCUUGAACCUACUCCCGCCGCUGACAGUAAGCAGAUUGUAUGUUCGCCCCACGACCACGUGGGUUAACUGUGGGUGUUCCAGUUUCCUUGCACAUUCAGGUUAAUAAGUUGUGGACACGCUAUAUUGGCACUGGAAGCAUGGCGACACUUGUGGGUUUCCGCCAGCACAUUGCAAAAUAAACAGAAUAGAAUUCCUCUCCGUGCCUUGUGGCACCUCAGGCAGCCACCUUGCCAUUUCUGUCCUAUUUGUCUGUUUUACGAGGCCAAAUUGCUAGCUCGAUGCUCAGCCCACCACAACUAGAAAGCGUGCAAGGAGCUGGCCGGAUUUGGACCCAGGACCAACCGCCUUGAAGGCCAGCGUGGAUGCUACUACGCCACCGGCCAAUUGUAAAAUAAGAUGAUAACGCAAACAAUGCAUUUCACCAUGUUUCAAUGUACAUGUAAAAAAUAAAGAUUUUUAACUGUCCACUUUCAUCCGUAGAUGCUGCCUGACCCACUGAGUUCCUCCUGCAUUCUGUGUGAGU